This 157-nucleotide ribosomal RNA is filed under the name bacterium SM4.900-O.104. Its description in RNAcentral is "partial 16S ribosomal RNA". It matches the Rfam family "Bacterial small subunit ribosomal RNA", at positions 339 to 496 of the family's 1533-position model. The record is from RNAcentral.
CUACGGGAGGCAGCAGUGAGGAAUAUUGGACAAUGGGCGCAAGCCUGAUCCAGCCAUGCCGCGUGCAGGAUGACGGUCCUAUGGAUUGUAAACUGCUUUUGCACAGGAAGAAACAACAUUACGUGUAAUGUCUGACGUACUGAGAAAAGAUCAUCGG